RNAcentral lists this ribosomal RNA (465 nucleotides) under uncultured bacterium. RNAcentral's name for it is "bacterial SSU rRNA". It matches the Rfam family "Bacterial small subunit ribosomal RNA", at positions 338 to 795 of the family's 1533-position model. The record is from RNAcentral.
CCUACGGGUGGCAGCAGUGGGGAAUAUUGCACAAUGGGCGCAAGCCUGAUGCAGCCAUGCCGCGUGUAUGAAGAAGGCCUUCGGGUUGUAAAGUACUUUCAGCGGGGAGGAAGGGAGUAAAGUUAAUACCUUUGCUCAUUGACGUUACCCGCAGAAGAAGCACCGGCUAACUCCGUGCCAGCAGCCGCGGUAAUACGGAGGGUGCAAGCGUUAAUCGGAAUUACUGGGCGUAAAGCGCACGCAGGCGGUUUGUUAAGUCAGAUGUGAAAUCCCCGGGCUCAACCUGGGAACUGCAUCUGAUACUGGCAAGCUUGAGUCUCGUAGAGGGGGGUAGAAUUCCAGGUGUAGCGGUGAAAUGCGUAGAGAUCGGGAGGAACAUCAGUGGCGAAGGCGGCCAUCUGGAUCGACACUGACGCUGAGGCACGAAAGCGUGGGGAGCAAACAGGAUUAGAUACCCCCGUAGUC